GAGAAUGCCAAGAGUGUGCAAAGUUGUUAUCAAGGGUGGCUACUUUGAAGAAUCUAAAAUAUAUUUAGAUUAGUUUAACCCUUUUAGUUACUACAUUAUUCCAUGUGUGUUAUUUCAUAGUUUUAAUAUAAGGUGAAAGAAAAAACAUUGAAUGAAUAGGUCCAAACUUUUGACUGGUACUGUAUAUUUUUACCUAAAGUAGUCUUAAAAUGCAAAGUCAAAUAUUUAAAUGAUCCUUUGUAUCCUCUUAAAACAACUCCAUAUGUUAGCGUAAUAGAAUCCCCACCCAGGCUUAGAUUAGAGGAUUAAUGUCCUGCUGAAUUCAAAAUAACCUACAAACCCAAUACUUUCCCUUGUUCCACUUAUUUCCUCUCCUCUCUUGCACUACACUCUUGCCAUGGCUAUUUAUUUAUCUCAGAUUUCUCCCUUUGACUAUCCAUUUGUACCUCCCUACCUCUCUUUAAUUAUCACUUCCUUUCUCAUCUCUCCUCCCUCACUGAUGGUCUCUCUUUCCCUCUCUGUGUCCAUGUAGAACCGGUACAACCAGGCCAAGCUGAGUAUGCAUGACCAGGCUCUGAAGGUGUCAGCAGUGGUAGAAAGUCUGGAGAGGGAGAUGGAGCUUCUGUGUUUGAUUGGGGUUGAGGUCGACAUCAGGCCAAGCCUGGAGCUCCUCAGCAAUGCUGGAAUCAAACUGUGAAUAUAUGGAUGCUUACUGGGGAUAAGCUGGAGACAGCUACUUGUAUCGCUAAAAGCUCCCAUUUGGUGUCCAGAAGUGAAGAUUGGUCUCCAACGGUGGAGAGGCCCAUCUGGAGCUCAAUGCCUUCAGAAGGAAACACGACUGUGCUCUGGUCGUCUCUGGAGACUCCUUGGCGGUACUACAACACAACACACUUCUCACAAGCCUCUCAAGAUGGUACUGUAGAUGUAGCCAAAAAUAUUCUGGUGUCAAAACUAAAACCUUUUGAGUCCAAAACUGCAAGAAGAGCAACAAAGCACAUCAGUUAUGAUUUUAUAAGCAAAACAAACUACAUUUUAUCACUGUUGAUCUGAAGAGAUGGUACAGUAAGUAAUAUGUGAGUGUGCUUGUGGGUUCAGAUGUGUUUGCAUUUUCCAAAUCCAUAUGUUUAUCUUCCCACAUAGUCUGCGGGACUAUGAGCAUGAGUUUGUGGAACUGGCGUGUCAGUGUCCAGCGGUAGUCUGCUGUCGCUGCUCCCCCACUCAGAAAGCCCAGAUCGUCCACCUGCUCAAGCACCACACAGCCAACCGAACCUGUUCCACCUAUGGCACAGGUUUUGUAACAACUAACCACUCUCAUCCUUUGAGACACAGAACUGCUACAAUGAUCUGUGUACAAUGAAUGCCAAAUUAUAAAGUAGAUUGUAGAAAAUGCCUACCAGUAAUAUACCUGUAUCUCACUAUUGACUACUUUGUUUUGAAAAUGAAGAAACUAGACCCAGUAUGAGAAGGUACACCCCUAUUAUGUCCACAAUUAAAGAGCAUAAGCAUCUCUGUUAACAUUGUUUUGUCCUGGGGCAUAAGCCUUAUCUCCAUAUUGCUCUUUUACAUGCUAUUAUUGAACCUGUGGCUGACAUGUGGCUCUCUUGUCUCUCACAUGUGAUGAAGGUAAUGAUGUCAAUAUGAUCCAGGCAGCAGACUGUGGUAUUGGUAUUGAAGGAAAGGUUAAUAAUCCAUAUUACGCCUCUUACCUUAUCCAUUUAUUAUUACAUGAAAUAGUAAAAACAUGAUUUUUUAAACAAAAAUGCAAAACCUGUUACGGGCCCCAUAUUUAGUCGGAUAUGGGGUGUGUCCUUCCCUAGAAUAUGCUCUUAUGCUUUUCCCAUGCAGGAGGAGAAGCAGGCACCCCUGCUUUCUUCAUCACUCAGUUUUUAAGCACAUUGGUCUGCUGCUCGUGGUCCACGGCAGGAACAGCUACAAGCGCUCAGCAGCCCUGGGCCAGUUUGACAAGCACAGAGGCAUUUGUUAAUCAGUUAAUCAGUAUUUACCAGAGGGUUGACAGGAUACUCCUGUAGCUUUCUGAGUUAGAUUUCCUUAACACAGUUCUAAUGAUGAAUACUAACACACAGGGAAGGGUGCUGAGAAACAUAAUGGAUAUUAGGAAUGUAACAGGUGUUGGCCAGGUGCACAAACUCUUAUAUCCAAAGGAUCCAUCCGCACAGUAUAGCAGCUUUCCUGAAAGCAAUCUGAAUGACGAGCAGCAUAGUGGCUAAACCACAUUUUUAUUACUCACUUUUUGUCCAGGCAACACACUUCUAUUUCAUCAUUUUUACUAUGUGCAAAACUUCAGUCCACUUUCCCUUGACUCUCAGACAGUCCUGUUUCUCGGUAGCUUAGGUUACCAAGAGUCAUCCACAGUUACAUCCAGACUUUUGUCUGUUCUGUAAAUCAAUAUGUCUGUAAUCACUAAGCCAUGCAGCGUGUUGAAAAAGAUCUUAAGUUCCUACUGAAGUGUACCUUCCUGACAGCUUUCGUUUUUUAAUUAAAGGCCUAAUACCAAUGAAAAACAGGCCACGAUCGUCAGUUUUAAUUUGUCAUCUAGUUUAACUCUCAGGAAUGCACUGUAUGUAGACUGUAUGGAAAAGGCAAUUAUGUGAUCAGUUAUAGGCAAUUAAGCUCAAUUCGCAGAGCGUUAGGAUUAAAUGAUAGGCACAACCAUAGAAUAGAUGAAUGAGUGUCAAG
This is a long non-coding RNA of Oncorhynchus tshawytscha (Chinook salmon), 2697 nucleotides long. The record is from Ensembl. Lineage: Eukaryota; Metazoa; Chordata; Actinopteri; Salmoniformes; Salmonidae.